Molecule: long non-coding RNA, 3902 nt
Filed under: Homo sapiens (human)
Lineage: Eukaryota; Metazoa; Chordata; Mammalia; Primates; Hominidae
Description: HSALNT0338344
Source: RNAcentral
CAUUGCUCGAAACACAGCAGUAACACAUGCCAAACUCAGCAUUAGUCCGUAUUUAUUUUGGGCGCAGAUGUAUUAUUUGGAUUCUCUCUUUGUACACACCAAGUGGUGACGGUUCAUUAGUAGUGAAUACAGCAGUCAAUAUUCAAGGAAGGACUUUUGGUAAGUGCUUUUAAAAAAACCAUUCAGUAUUAUACCUUAGAGUGCACUAGUAAAUUAAUUCACAUGUCAAAAUAAUAAUUGGCAGUUACAAACAAAUUCAUUAGGUCUUUUUCUCAGCAAGACAUCAGUCAUCACAAUCAAUUAAUACUAAUCUGAAUAUUAUUUGUUGUUAUAAUUUUCUCCACAUUAAAUUUGGAAAUUUGUUUUAGUGAUUUAGUUACAUGUAUAAGAACUAACUAUAAAGUUUUUUUCCCAGUUUUCUAUUUGUACACAUUAAUGUAACGGAAUAAUAAACAUAAUUAAAUCAAAAAAGGAUGUCCUUUAAAGGGGGUGCAUACAUUAUUAAACUUUGAGAAACACCGGCUCAAACUACACAAACAUGCAGUGGUCUUAGUCUUCCCGACGACACUCCUAAAAUAUUCUCUGUAAGACAGGAAAUCUUCCCAAAUGUGCAAACCAGGGAGAACCCGCUGUUGGACAGUCAGCCUGCAAGCUGAGGCUGGAGAGGCCUGUCUGAAUCCUCCACUCUCAGUCUCCAGCCUCACCAAAGGCUAGGCUUCCCCUCUUCACAGCUGCUCCUGCGGCUUCCUUGCCAGAGCCAACCUUUCCAGCCAAGGAAGGUGGCUGGACUAGCGGGAACGAGAGAACAAGCUUGACAGGAGGUCCUGGGAAACCCAAGGAGGGAAUGAGCCUUUUCACACAUGCCUCCCCUGAGCGGUGGAGGCCCAGUGUGGGAACACAGCCUCCAUCUGCUACUGUUGCUGCCCGGGAACCACAGUCAUCGUGGGCUUGUGAACGAACAAGCUCCUGUCGGGGCUGCCUGUGCUGCCAGGGCCCGAUCGUCGCAGCCACCGAACAUCUGGGCCCCAGACCCACAGCAUCUGUGUUGCUUUCUCACUGACACCAGCAUCUCCCUUGACCAAACCACGCCACACACAAACCAGAUUCCACUUACGAACGCUGUGCUUGGCUGCUUUUAUAACUAAGAGCAAGAAAACACUUGUUCUUUCUGCAUCUUGAUUGGCAUUUGGACCUCGACUGAAUUAUUUAAUGAAUUAAUUAAUGAUUUGGAAACCCUGAUUAGCAGCAGAGUCAUGCUGGCUUCUUGGGGAAAAUAUAUUAUUCAAGGUGAAGAACUGAAAAAUCAUUCACAUUUGAUUAUCUGGCUCCAUGAACCAACACAUAAGCUAAAAACAAACACACACAAACACCACCACCCCUAGACAAAGAGAUUUUGGGAAUUGUCUCAUCUUUUCCAAAACUUACAAAUAUGUUGAUGUUACGGUGCUGGACUUGACCUUAGAGUCUUCUGGUUCUAUCCCCUAGUUUUACAGAUGAAGGAACUGAAACCCAGGGUGAAAGAAUAACUUUUCCAAUGCAACAUAGUUAACAAGCAGCAAAACUAGGCUAAAACCAGCUCUCCUGACUGCAGACCAGGGAUCUUUCCUAACUUAAAGAAAAUAUAACAGACCAUUUCUUCUAGUUCCCCUCUCACCAUCCAGCGGCUCUCAAGCAUGGCACCUGCAUAUGAUAAAUAAGCCACCACAUGUAGCCCCAGAUUUGGGUCAUUCGACUCAACUGAGCAAACCCACUGUUUGGCAGCAUCAGUCAGAUGGAGCUGAACUGAGUAGCCAGGGGCCCAGGAAACAAGGGCACAACUCGAGGCACUGGUCAGGCCCCUCGACAAAGAACAAUAGUGGGCUUGUUGCAACAUGACUUGUGAAGAUGCAGGGAUGGGGUCAGUUGCCAUGGUCUGAAUUAUGUCCCCUGAAAGUCAUCUAGAAGACUCCACCCGUAGCACCCAUGAAUGUGACCUUACUUGAAAACAGGGUCUUUGCAGAUACAACCCCAUUAAGAUGAGAUGACUAGGGUGGGCCGUAAUCUAAUAUGAUUGGCGUCCUUCUACAAAGAGGAAGACAGACAUGGGGACAGAUGUACUCAGAGGGGAGACGUGAAGACACACAGGGAAAAGCCGGGUGAGGACAGGGGCAGAGACGGAAUGAUGCACCCACAAGCUGAGAAGCUCCAAGCUGGAAACCACCAGAAGCUGGAAGAGACAAUGAAGGAUCCUCCUGACAGGUUUCAGAGGGAGCACUGCCCCACCCACAACUUGAGCUUGGACUUCUGGCCUCCACAGCUUCUGUUGUUUUAAGCCACUCAUUUUUUGGUACUUUGUUAUGGCAACUCUAGGAAAUGAAUACAGGUGGUCAACAGUUUUACUAAAACAGUACAAGGCUCACUUGUUGAGUGGUGAUUUUAGACUUUUAAACUCUUGAAGGGCACCACCAAAAAUUUCUGGAAUCUGAAAGUAUCCUGCAAACAUGAAAUAAGAGAGAACAGCUACCCAGACGCUCUCAUUUCCCCUGCACGCCUACAUUCCUUCUAAUCACUAUUUACACCCUCUCCAGAUCCCACCCCUGCUUCUCUGCCUCCACCGCAAAACAGAAGCCUCUCCCAGCCAUCACCCACAGGAGGCAGGGCUGAAGGCAGGGGAUGGUAAUGCUGACUGUGACCUGGCCCCAUGGCCUCUUCAUGUUACAACCACACACAGGCCUCUCAGUCAGAUAUUCAUUCAGCAAGUAAGUACUGAGCACCUACCACGUGGUGGACAUGGCUCCAGCCUGGGGACACUGUGGGGGGCAACAGACCAGACGGCUGUCCCAGGGAGCGUCCAUCAGAGAUUAAACAGAUAGAUGACUGAUUGACAGAUGCGCAGAUAGGUGACAGAUGGUAUAACAGACAGAUGAUAGGUGACAGAGAAAAAUGACAGAUGACAUGUGACAGAUGAUUGACAGAUAAAUGAUAGACAUGUACAGAGAUGAUAAAUAGAUGAUACAUAGACAACAGAUGAUUGACAGAUAAAUGAUAGGCAAAAAAAGAAGAUUUCAGGUAGUAAUCAAUGUCAGACAGAAAGAAUAGAGUGAGGUGAUGGUGGCCAAUCACGGGGUUAUUUCGUGGUGUCUGGUCAGGGCAGUCACAGAGGAGGGGACCCUCUACCUGGCCUCCGGAUGAAACACCAGUUCCUGCAUCCUGACAGAGGGUGUGACCAGAACCAGGACCCUCAGGAGUGAGAGCAUAUCUGGUGACAGAGACACCCCCAGCAGGUCCCAGCCCGCCCACUUCCAUCACAGGGUUGUCUGCACUGCCUCUUGGAAGCCAGACGUGGCCACGUGACUCACUCUAAGCAAUGAACCCUAAUGGUGCCCACUUCCCCUUCCGCCUUCUGCCAAGGGCCCAAGGCCCAGGUGCAGCCAAAGCCUGGGCAGCCCCAGCAGGGCCUGUCAUGGGCACAGCCUCUGGACCGCCCACACUGCACCUGGAGUUAGGAGACCUGUGCUCUGGUCCCAGCAAAAAUACAUUUUUGUUUUAAACUGUGAAGGUUUGGAGGUUAUUUGUCAGCACAGCACAGCCUGACCCUCCAUCUCCAAAGAGAUCAAAAACUGAAGGAAUGGUGCCUGAAAGUGCUUCCGACGUCAAGCUAUCCUGAAGCACCAAAUUCUCAACUGUUGCCGUAUCUUUCUGUCCCAGCAAAGACCUUAACUCCAAAAAAGGCUCAAGUCUACCAAGAAGGCACCCAAACCUUCUGCACUCGAUAAAUGCAGAAGGUUUGGGUGAGGGCAGCAAAAACAGUGAUUGCCUAAUAACAAAGUGACCAAGGGUCCCUCACGCCAAUAUUGUAGCACUCUUUUUUUUUUUCUGUAAUUGUGAAUCUUCUUGGUAAAGUAAACAUAUACUAAAUUGAA